GUGCCAGCAGCCGCGGUAAGACGAACCGUGCGAACGUUGUUCGGAAUCACUGGGCAUAAAGGGCGCGUAGGCGGCUCUCCAAGUCAGGGGUGAAAUCCGGCAGCUUAACUGUCGAAGUGCCUUUGAUACUGGGGAGCUCGAGGGAGGUAGGGGUCUGUGGAACUUCCGGUGGAGCGGUGAAAUGCGUUGAUAUCGGAAGGAACGCCGGUGGCGAAAGCGGCGUGCUGGACCUCUUCUGACGCUGAGGAACGAAAGCUAGGGGAGCAAACGGGAUUAGAUACCCGCGUAGUCC
Molecule: ribosomal RNA, 292 nt
Filed under: uncultured bacterium
Lineage: Bacteria
Description: partial 16S ribosomal RNA
Rfam family: Bacterial small subunit ribosomal RNA
Source: RNAcentral